CAGUUUUUCCCUGGAUUAUGAUAACUGCUCCUUCCUUUGCCUUUUCAGCCCUGGGAGUGGGAGUGAUCUCCUGUCCUUCUUUCACCACGUUGGGCCAGAGGUCCAAAGCUGAAGAUGUCAGCAGAGGUAGUUUCUUCUGGAGAAGACAAGGAAGCAUCUAUUCCCUGCCUUUCUCUCAGCUCCUGGUGGUGGCCAGAAAUUCCUGGUAUUCCUUGGCUUGUGGCAGCAUCACUCCAGUGUCUGUGUUGAAAUGAAAGAUUGUGACACUAAAUCUAUAAUUUAUGCUUUCAUUCAAUCAAAUAAAAGAAAAUAAAUAUCAGUUCAUGAAGUAAACAUAUCUUGAUGAGUAACAGACAUAAACAUGGUAUGAAAUAAAUUAUUUAAUAAACAGUUCACAGCUGUGAUUUGUUUAAUACAUUAUAGUUGACUCACACUGCCUGUUCAAGUUAAUGGCUGAGGAUAAACUGUUUUUGUCAGUAAAAUUUUAUUCAGAUUUAGAAAGAAUAAUGUAGUUUAUGACAGAUUUAACUACAGCCAUCAACUACACACCAUCCUGUUGCCUUCAAAUUAUAUAUUGCACAUGUUUUUAAAAUCUUAAUAUGUCAUAUAAUCAGAAGUGUUUUGUGUUAAUAUAUGGCUUUGUUCAUCUGAUUGCAGCAUUGAAAGAACAGUUUUAUGAGAGUCCUAUAAAAUUCACAGUUUGUUGGAAUACUAAAGAGAGUAAUCACUAUAUUUUAUAGAAUUUUAUUCUGAGAUGAGUUGGAUUUUCUCCAGUGAUUAUUAGGUGGAGUG
Molecule: long non-coding RNA, 792 nt
Organism: Manis pentadactyla (Chinese pangolin)
Lineage: Eukaryota; Metazoa; Chordata; Mammalia; Pholidota; Manidae
Exons: 3
Source: RefSeq, a predicted model, not a curated record